GAUGAAGAACGCAGCGAAAUGCGACAAGUAAUGUGAAUUGCAGAAUUCAGUGAAUCAUCGAAUCUUUGAACGCACAUUGCGCCCGCCAGCAUUCUGGCGGGCAUGCCUGUUCGAGCGUCAUUUCAACCCUCGAGCCCCCCCGGGGGCCUCGGUGUUGGGGGACGGCACACCAGCCGCCCCCGAAAUGCAGUGGCGACCCCGCCGCAGCCUCCCCUGCGUAGUAGCACACACCUCGCACCGGAGCGCGGAGGCGGUCACGCCGUAAAACGCCCAACUUUCUUAGAGUUGACCUCGGAUCAGGUAGGAAUACCCGCUGAACUUAAGCAUAUCAAUAAGCGGAGGA
Molecule: unclassified non-coding RNA, 343 nt
Filed under: soil metagenome
Description: partial contains 5.8S ribosomal RNA, internal transcribed spacer 2, and large subunit ribosomal RNA
Rfam family: 5.8S ribosomal RNA (bases 1-120)
Source: RNAcentral